Molecule: long non-coding RNA, 911 nt
Filed under: Salmo salar (Atlantic salmon)
Lineage: Eukaryota; Metazoa; Chordata; Actinopteri; Salmoniformes; Salmonidae
Description: lncRNA (ENSSSAG00000092272.1)
Source: RNAcentral
CAACCCACAACAUAAUUAUUCUAAACCCUGAGAUGACCCACAGGUUGAAAUAAUGUUUUAAUUCCACUAGAACAGUAUAUUAUUCGUGGUGCAACUCUUCCAGGCUGUGUAAGGCACACAUACGUGCAUAACCUGUGGCUAUUAACUUCACUUGAUGAUGAACUGUUAGUAACAUUUGGUUCCCCUUGAUGUAGCAAGAAUAUAACUUCCCGACGUUCACGUGGUCGCAACAGUAAUGAUAAUUUCCUGUAGCAAUGUUAUAACGAAGAGAUUGUUGUUUAUGGUUCCCAAACCUCUUAUGACCUGUGGUGGGGAAAGAAGGGGUGCGUCCCGCACUCGUUCACUACUUCCCAAAAAAUCCAAAAGCAUUGGAUUGGUGGAGGCAUAGGACAGGGAAGGGAAGUGAACAAUGGCAGACUUUGAGAGGAUUGAGAGAUAAUUGGAACACAGCCGAGAUGUUCAACAUCACUUCUUUUGGGGUUUGAUGAGUUCUUACACACAUCAUAAAUGAGAAAAACAAGCAAGUUCGUUGAACCUUCAUAUCUUCCCAGCGUGGCCUGGCAGACCCUUUUUAAACAUCUGGGGCGGCAGUGUUGGACUAGUAACCGAAAGGGUUUGCAAGAUCGAAUCCCCGAGCUGACAAGGGCUGCCCGUCCACCCAGGUGCAGGAGAUAUUGAGAGCAAUCUGGAUGUGCUGCCCCUGUUUGAGGCGGCAGUACGCAUGAUGCUAGAGGUAAGUCUUCUGUAGCAUCAGAUGGGGCUGAGGGACAGGAGGAGAAGGAUGAAGAGAACAGCGUGGAGCCUGACUCUACACCAGACCAUAUGGCUACACCCACAACUGUCAAAGCCCUGAUCUGUGGUGACAGAGGAGGAUUGUCUGUGGUUAAGUACAAGAUCACAGCCACUCCAGG